This 216-nucleotide unclassified non-coding RNA is filed under the name Sordariomycetes sp. RNAcentral's name for it is "partial contains small subunit ribosomal RNA, internal transcribed spacer 1, and 5.8S ribosomal RNA". The stretch from base 1 to 46 matches the Rfam family "Eukaryotic small subunit ribosomal RNA", at positions 1786 to 1831 of the family's 1831-position model. Lineage: Eukaryota; Fungi; Ascomycota; Sordariomycetes. The record is from RNAcentral.
AAGUCGUAACAAGGUCUCCGUUGGUGAACCAGCGGAGGGAUCAUUACAGAGUUGCAAAACUCCAAACCCUUGUGAACGUUAUUCUGUUGCUUCGGCAGGCGGGGCCCAGGGGGGUUUCCACUAUAACGCCUGCCGAAAGACCAAAACUCAGCUGCCUAUGCCUUCUGAAGAAAAGACAAAUAGUUAAAACUUUCAACAACGGAUCUCUUGGUUCUG